AACUCUGGAUGGGAUGCCUCAUAGCUUGGUAUUUGAUUUGGCCUUUUCUAAAGGAAAGUGAUCUGUACCUUUUCCCCCUUGGUCAUCUGACUUUGUUUGGGUGGGUACUAAGUUUGCAGUUUCAGUUGAGGACACAGUUAAUCCUGCUUAGAUAACUUUAGUCAAUGUCAUGAACAAGAGUUGAUCACUAAGCCUGGACAUUUUCACCUAGGCUAGAGAAAGGAAGAGACAUUGCUUUUCAGCCAUCAUCAUCAUCAUCAUCUUGUUCCCUGUCUGCGUCUGCUACUUCUUGCUGCUGGUACCUGUGUCAUUUAAGCCAACACCAAGAUAUAGUUACAGUGACAGUUCCAUUUAUAUUCAUGGGCUUGGCACAGCCUCCGUGUGAUCUUUGACGUGUAUUGAAUGAACCAAAUAAUAGCUGCCCUUAGAUGGCGAGUUGUGUUUUCCUUUUGUUUUGCUUUCUGAACUCUGACAUUAAUAUUUCCCUUUGUUUUCUAGACCAAAUGCUUCAUCUGUGGGAUAGGCAAUGAUUACUUCGACACAGUGCCACAUGGCUUUGAAACCCACACUUUACAGGAGCACAACUUGGCUAAUUACUUGUUUUUUCUGAUGUAUCUUAUAAACAAAGAUGAAACAGAACACACAGGACAGGAAUCUUAUGUCUGGAAGAUGUAUCAAGAAAGGUGUUGGGAAUUUUUCCCAGCAGGAGAUUGCUUCCGGAAACAGUAUGAAGACCAGCUAAAUUAAACUCAGACCCCGAUCACCUCUAAAAACCAAAACCCCACCCCUCUCUCUCCCUCUCU
This 803-nucleotide small RNA is filed under the name Pongo abelii (Sumatran orangutan). Its description in RNAcentral is "processed transcript". Lineage: Eukaryota; Metazoa; Chordata; Mammalia; Primates; Hominidae. The record is from RNAcentral.